RNAcentral lists this long non-coding RNA (538 nucleotides) under Numida meleagris (helmeted guineafowl). RNAcentral describes it as "lncRNA (ENSNMEG00000018712.1)". Lineage: Eukaryota; Metazoa; Chordata; Aves; Galliformes; Numididae. The record is from RNAcentral.
GGAGAGGUCUGCCGCGUUCAGGACGCUGUGCCGAAGCACGGUUGCAGACAGUGCUCCAUGUGGGUGCAUAGAAAGAUCAACUCUUUAAUCUGGCCCAGAUCUGCAUGAGCACUUAUAUGGUAGGAUUGAGAAGAAGGAACAAGAAGAUGAAUGAGGCAGGACUGCAUCUUUAAUGGGAACAAACUUGGCUGGAAAUGAAACUGAGACAUUACAAUCACUGCUCUGUGGAAUUCUAAGCCUGACUAUCCAUGCUCUACUACGAACACUGAAUGUUUCCAUCAUGAUGGUUCCUGCUACUCUAAAGUUUACGGAGGAUGAACAGCAGUUUAUUCACUUUCAAGGAACACAUGAAAAUAAGAAUUAAUUUUUAAACCUGAAAUCAAUUAGAGAGUUGAGCAAUCAACAUAAGCUUACUGUUAUUAUAUAAAAUUCUUGAAGGUUUGAGAGAGGGGCUAACUUUUGGGAACUGUCUUACAGAAUGUAGUAGAAAAUUGUGUAUUUAAUACUGUAAACAGUAGCAGAAAAUAUAAUAUCUAGG